Molecule: long non-coding RNA, 29379 nt
Filed under: Solanum tuberosum (potato)
Lineage: Eukaryota; Viridiplantae; Streptophyta; Magnoliopsida; Solanales; Solanaceae
Description: long non-coding RNA (STUB_LNC001943)
Source: RNAcentral
CACCGAGCAAUAAGCAUGAAUAAAAAGUAAGCUCACAUGAAUAUUGCGUUAUACCUGUGAGUUGUUUUGUUAUGAAUCAUGAGCUUGGAUGAUUUGUUGGCAAGUAAAUAUCAAUAGCGGAUGAGGUAAUUACUCGGGGUUUUUAUUUUGGCUCAAUGUAGGUAGUCUCUACUGCACAUUAUUGUACUCUUGUGCAGUGUUAUCAAAGGCGCGCUUAAGCCCUGAAGCGAGGCUCAAAACGUGUUGAGCGCUUCGCCUCGCUUUAUGUGCGCUUCAGUGUCGUCAUCAAGGUUCUAAGGCAAACGUUUCCUUGCCAAUGAGCCUCGUAUGAAGAAGUGACUCUAAAUAAUUGAUAUUUCACUUUAUCAUAAAAAGAAAUUCAAUUUCUUUGGUCAUAUUUUUGUCAUUCAUGUUUAUACUUAUUAGUCUUGGGCUAAGCAUAUAUAUUUGUAUUCUUUUCUCCCUUUGCGCCUUUUUUCAUUAAAGCCCACACUUUAUUUGCGCUUAAAGCCCUCACGGACCUUAGAGCUUUUUUGUGCAUUUCGCCUUUGAUAACACUGCUCUUGUGGAGCUCUCUCGAAGGCUUAUUUUUUUGUGACAUUUACUUUUACUUUACGCUUAUCUUAGCACUUCUAAAAUUUUGGAGUUUGGACUUGUUUAGUUACAUAAAUGGUUCAUUUGUUCUUGAUAAUUCAUUAUACUGAAAGUCUAUACACCCAACUAAAUAUCUAAUUCAGAGUGGUAAAGAAUCUUUAGAAGACCAAGAUCACACUGAACCAAUAAAAAAACCCACUAACUUUUCCAAUUGGGCACCUAUAACUGUGGUAAUUUGGAAUAUUUCCAGUUAGUGAACUUUGAUUCGUUCCUUUAUUAUCGGAUUUUAUUCUUGUGCUCCUUUAUCUUCUCUCCUCUUUGUAUUACUUGAAUUUAAGCCUCCAAUAUGUAAUCCUGUUUCCUAUUCUUGAUUUUUAGUCAUAUUCUACUACCCUUUCUAUAGUGAGACCCAGAAAUGGCUCAAGGUACUUGUGCGAUUCUUAGUAUGCAUCGCUCCUUAACAGCCCCUAACUUUGAAGCCUUGAAACCCAAGUAUUCUGGUCCAUAUUUCAAGGAUAAACCCAAGUUUGUAGCCUGUCCAACAUCAGAUUUUGGUAUUUAAUAAGAGCAUUCUUUUUGUCAUUUGUUUGUUUAUUCUUAACAGUAAAGUCAAGCAUUAAUGUGAUUUGAUUUUCUGGCUGGCUUAAAAAUUGCUUAAUUUUCUUACUAGCUUUUGUUGAGUUUAGUUGGUGAUGUUAUUUAGUUUGGGAACAGGACCACAGGUGUUUGGAAUUUGUGUAGGGUUGCAUUCUGUUAAAUUGUGAAGAUAUUGAAAUCACAAUGAACCAACGAAGCACAAUCGAUCUGGAACAUGGAUGGGACUUCAUGCAAAGGGGCAUUACAAAGCUGAAGAACAUUCUAGAAGGGCUGCCUGAGCCUCAGUUCAGCUCAGAGGACUAUAUGAUGCUGUAUACGUAUCCUUUUAGACUCCCUCACUGUUAGGCAUGUAGAUAACUUGGAUUUGAUUCACCUUUCGUUUCCUUAAGUCUACUAACAGGACAAUUUACAACAUGUGUACUCAAAAGCCCCCACAUGAUUAUUCUCAACAGCUGUAUGACAAAUAUCGUGAAGCUUUUGAAGAAUAUAUCACAACAACGGUAAGGGUAACUGCAGUUUACAUUCACAUUUCACUUUAGUUGAAAUUAAACAAGGUACUACAAUAAAACAAGAAAAUAAGAAUUGAAGAAGUAUUAUUCUUAAUUUUUCUUUGAUGUUUGUUAUAUCCAUGUACCAUUCUUGAUUGUCUGCUCCCUUUGUAUCAUUCUGGAAUGUUUGGAACUUAGAAAAAUGAUUUCUUUAAUAAAGAAAAGGGAAAUCAUUAGUCUGGUAAGCCCUUUGUUGCUCUUUUAUUUUUCAAUUUUAGCCAUGUAACAAAGAGGUCUUAGUAUGGGUAGUUUCCUUGGUGCGCUCUGUGAUUCUAUUUUGUGCCCUCAAUGAUUUUAUUUAAUAAGGAUCCAUGUGCAAGUAUCAACAUUUUUUGGGGAUCUGAAUGUAAUUCAGGCAUUGCUUUCCCAAGAGACUAUAUCUUUUAGUUUUAUUCCCACUAUUAUAAGAUUCAAAUUUAGAAAGGCUGCUCUUGCUGCUUCUUCAUCCCAUAGAAUAUUAAGAGAAGGAUACGGGGAAAGUGGAUAGAAGUUUCAAAACACAGCUAAAUUACAUGGAUUUUUUGUAUGUUAUUUUAGGCAUGCAAUUUUUCUUAGGAGUUUAAAAUGAUGAGAACUCAAAUUUAGCUUAAAGUUUGUUUACCCAAUUUUUGUUUCUCCAAAUAAUUCUACCUUCUCUAAAUUUGACACUGCAAUUCAAUUUCAAAAUAGGUAUUGCCUUCUUUGAGAGAAAAACAUGACGAGUUCAUGUUGCGAGAGCUGGUAAAAAGGUGGUCAAAUCAUAAGGUCAUGGUCAGAUGGUUGUCGAGAUUCUUCCAUUAUCUUGACCGCUAUUUCAUUGCCCGGAGAUCUCUGCCGGGGCUUAAUGAAGUUGGAUUAACUUGCUUCCGUGAUCAGGUAAUUAUGGUUCUCCUUCUCUUUUCAUCAAAACUUUGUUUCUAUGGUCAUCUAUUAAAACAUCUCCACCUGAUCCCUUGGUUAAAGCACUGAGUUCAGCUCAUUGCUUCUAUAUUGAUUUUUUUAAUUUUAUUUUCUGGGUUUUGCUCUUCUAGAAUUUGGUUUUCAGUUUGACAGUAUACUAGUCAACUGCUGCCACAUCCUUUUACGAAAAGAUGUUAUCAUUUGGUCCCUCCAUCCCAAUUAUGUGAAGGUGAUUGACCGGAGUUUAAGAGAAAAAGAAAGAAUUUUGAAACUUGUGGUAUAAAGUAAGCUAUAGAAACUUAAGUAAAACAAGAAGUUCGAAGUUAAAUUGUUACUAAUAUGGAAAGAUGUCCCUUUUUUGGGGACCGACUAAAAAAGAAAGAGUAUCACAUAAAUUGGGACAAAGGUAAUAUCUUACGGGCAACUGUUUUCUCUUUCAGGUCUACCAAGAGUUGAAUGGAAAAGUCAGGGAUGCUGUUAUAUCUCUGGUAUCCCUUUUGUCUUGCUUUGAGUUCUCACUACCAUUUCUUUUUUCCUUUUAAUUGAGCAACGACAUUCCUCUAACCAGAUUGAUCAAGAGCGUGAGGGAGAGCAAAUUGACAGAGCCCUACUAAAGAAUGUGCUAGAUAUAUUUGUUGAAAUUGGAAUGGGGUCAAUGGAUUAUUAUGAGAACGAUUUUGAAGCUGCAAUGCUCAAGGAUACAGCGGCUUAUUAUUCUCGCAAAGCUUCUAACUGGAUCCUCGAAGAUUCAUGUCCAGAUUAUAUGCUGAAAGUUAGUAUACUGCUUAUGCAACCCCUUAAUUCUGCCAUUCUUACCCUGUUGCUUCUUCUGUCUGUCCUUUUUCUGGUUAAAGUCCAUAUGUUAACCUACAUAAUCAUGUCAAUGUUCCUUUAGGCUGAGGAGUGCUUGAAACGGGAGAAGGAUAGGGUUUCUCAUUAUCUCCAUUCAAGCAGCGAGACAAAGUUGCUUGAGGUUCAUUCCAGCUCUUAAUCUUUAUUCUUUACUGGAACUUUAGCCUUCAAAAUGGAGGAUGUUGCUAUCAAUUUUUAUUGUUCACAUCUUCUUUUUUCUGGAUCUAGCCUAUCAACUUUAAAUUAGCUGCAACUUUACUACUCUCACCUUUCUGCAGAAAGUGCAACAUGAGUUGUUGUCUGUGUAUGCCACUCAACUUCUUGAGAAGGACUACUCUGGAUGCCAUGCGUUACUAAGAGAUGAUAAGGUAGUUAGCAGCAUCUUAAUGACCAUGUUUCUGAAUUUUUUUUGUGGUAAUUGACACAAUCAUGAUUAUUUUAUUAGGUUGAAGAUUUAUCAAGGAUGUAUAGGCUCUUUUCUAAGAUCCCUCGAGGCUUAGACCCUGUGGCCAAUAUUUUUAAGCAGGUUUGUGAUCUCAUGACCUCAUAUUCUCAAUUGUAUGCCUAUAAGUUACUUCAUGUAUCCUUCUUUUUAAUCUGAAUGCAGCAUGUUACUGCUGAAGGUACAGCUUUGGUAAAACAGGCUGAAGAUGCUGCUAGCAACAAAAAGGUUUGUAUAAUCUAUCCCUUUCUCAAAUUCUUUGGUUUUGAGAAAUUUGGUUCUUCCUUAUUUGGCGCUUAUACACUUUGAGUUGACUUGGAACCAGUCAAACUAGAAGUUUUUGCUAUUUUAAUAUGCAAAGUUACUUGUGCUCAAGUGUCUGAUCAACUUAAUUUCAUAUAUUAACACACCAUUUUGUCAUCAAUUGUUAUGAAUCUUUAGAGAAGGAUCGAUUCAUAGGGCGAUCUGUCAUUGUCGUGGGUCCUUCACUUUCAUUACAUCGAUGUGGAUUGCCUCGUGAAAUAGCAAUAGAACUUUUCCAGACAUUUGUAAUUCGUGGUCUAAUUAGACAACAUCUUGCUUCGAACAUAGGAGUUGCUAAGAGUAAAAUUCGAGAAAAAGAGUCGAUUGUAUAAAUUCAGCUCGUUAAAGGGAGGCUGAACCUUAGAGUUCAUUAAAAAGAGAGAACCCGGAUCUCUUCAGCUCUUCAAAGGGAGACUGAAACCUUAGAGUUCAAUGGAAGAGAGAACUCUGAUCUCUUGCUCUUUGCAGAUGUAUGACUUACUGUUUUAUUCAUCAAAAGCCCCUUUAAAUAGGAGUCUUAUUACAUCAAUAGGAAGUUUAAUUCUUAUGUAAGUAGGAGACCUAAAUCCUGUACCAAACUAAUAACUAUAGGUUAACCUAAUCCUUAUGAAACCAUGAAACAUAAACCCCAUUCUAGAAUAAUAAAGUUACUAAAUUAUAAAUAAAUAGUAAAUUGAUCUACUUAAAAAUAUAAUUAAAUACUUAAAAUUAAUUGACUUCCUCACAUCCACAACAUCAAUACUUUAAGUUUAAAAGCUAUCUACUCUAGCACCCAAGUCUUAAAAACUACAAAAUAGUCCCUACCACCAAAAUUUUAGAAAAGACAAACUAACCACUUUCUAUAAAUAUUUUAUAUCCCUAUUUAGAAAUUAAAAAAAAUAAUCACAAAAUCCAUUUCUUUCCCUCCAAAACCUCUCUGAGUAAAUGAUCAAAAUGGUCCUUGAUGUAUAAGGGUUGUUUUAAGUUGAUCCUUAAUAUAUUCCACAUGAUCCAUAUGGUCCUUAAUAUAUUAUAAAAGAGGAUCAAUUUGAUCCUUUGACCUAAAAGUAACAGAUACAUAAAAAAAAAUCUGUUAACUUUAACACUGACCCCACGUGCAACUCAUGUGCAAAAAUUAAAACACUCAAAAGUUUUCCCUUUCCCCUUCUUUCUCUACAUUUUUCCAAUCUGUUUCAGAAGAGCUUGUGGAUUUUAUUUUUUUUUGCUCCUCAGCCAUUAAAGGGAACUUCCCUCUUCUCAUCUAACACAGAGCUACUAUUUUUUACUGCAAAAUGUCAAGAAAGAUGAAGUUUUCUCUUUUUAGUUCAUCUCUGAAUCCCUAAUUGCUACUCCAAUUCAAAGAUGAUAAGUGAUUUCUAAUAGAAAGCAAUUUUGGAAGUCUUUCAUUGUUGUUGUGUAAAAAAUUGAUUGUAUUUGAAGAUACAUACAGAAGAUCUAAUCAAAGCCCUAUUUGAAGGUGACAAAAUUGAUUCACGAUCAAUGCUUUUGAUUUCGAAAUUAGUAAAGAAACUAAGUGAAGCUGAAAGUAUAUUGAAAGUAUUUGAAAAUGGACAGUAGCAUUAUGCGAUAGCAUUAGUUGAAAAGGAAGAUUGAGACAGAGGCGAUAUCUCUAGAUUAGAAAUGAGCUUGAAAAAGAAAACAAAAAGGUGAAAAAAAUGAAGAGCAAAUUGGUUAAUGCCAAAAGUAGAGAGAAUGUGUGUUGGUAUAUUAUCUUGUAUGACUCUACUCUAGAUUUGAUAUCUAAAUGCGAUUUGAUCUUUUGAAUCAUGGUGCAAGUCAGUUGCCAUAGGUUGAUCUGUAAUCUUUAGUGUAUGUAAUUGUAUAGACAACUUCUUUUUUCAAAAAUAUGGUGCUUUAGCUCUAAUAAUUGAAGUGCAGAUUUUAUAAUAAAAAUUUGGUCCCUUGUAAUAGUAGAAUCUGGUGCAUAUUUUAUUGAGAAUACCUGGUGCAUCAAUUUUGAGAAUUCUAAUGUAAAUUGAGCAUAUGCGCUUAUAAUCAAUGCAAAAAUUUGGUGCCUUGAAACAUUUUAUUAGCACAUCUGGUGCACUUCUAAUGAGCACACUCAUGUCUAGUGAAGUUUGGAAUGGAUACGAUGUACGUAGAUCUUAUCCUUACCUUGUAAAGAUAGAGAGAUAGUUUCUGAUAGACUCUAGGCUUAAACAAAAAUUACUUCAAAGCAGAUACAUCCAAGGUGAAAUAACUAUGAUACUUGAUGUUGUUGUAAGGGCAACAAACAAUGAUAACUAACAAGGAAGUGAUGCAAUUUUUGAAGAUUUGUUUGCUUGCAAAACAGUUUACGUAGCUCUGGUGCUUAUCUAGGGUUGGGACCAUUUGUCUAACUCCAAGAUUCUUAUUUCAAUUUUUAUACGAGAACAUCUUUCUCAUAUCGAUCAAGGCUUUCUUUGAGUUUGAAAUAAGGGGACAAGAAGUAAGAACAUAAACCCUUUAGAUUCAACGUCAACCAUGCUUCAACCUUAGUAGCUGUGUGAAAGCCGCUUAACUUCUCACUUGGUAACAGUUCUUUAAUUACCAAAAAUAAAGAAUGCAAAACAUGUAGAUUGUUAUCCUUCACUAGCUUAAAAGUAAAAACAUUAAUUCUCCCUCUUCCCCUGUAAUCCUAUCAUCUGGCCAUAUCAAUAUUAGAGCUGGAGUAUACCUCUUUUUUUCUUGUGUAGAAAACAUAAUUAAGAACCUCUGUCAACUGUAAUGAGGUUUUCAAUAACUGUAUGCCAAGCUACAAUAUUAAGAAUGAAUAGAGAACAAAAGUUGCACAUGAUUUUAAUUUCAAAGAAACAAAAAGAUAAUAUGGAAGACACAUAGCCACUCAGACAUGAAGUACACAACAAGACUUAAAGUUCAAUCAAAUUUGCAGAUAGAAGUUAAAAAUCGAAGCAUAAAUUGAACUUAGAUCGAUGGAACAAUAGCUGGUGCAUAUUGAAGUUUCUAAUCACAAGUCGCAACUUAUCAAAAUCACAUUACAUGAGUUGAUUCAAAAAUAUGAAUAAUGAGUGCUUACCACUCUAUCACAACCCUUGUUUGUAGCAUAUUGCUAUUCUGCUUAUUUUGAUUUCCAGUUUGUGCUUUUAAUGAGUUUUGUUCAGAGAUUUCUUGUUAUCGUAUCUUCUUUUUUGUAUCAAAAGCAUGAAGUCACAAAGUUUGACUUCAUCUCAGUGAUUGUUUUGUUUCAUUUACUUAAUUUGUUCUUCAGUACAUGGUCAUUGAUAAUUUGGUGGUUGGGAAUAUUACUUCAAAGAGAUGGUAAAAGUUUCUUUAAAGCAGAACCCCUCACCGAAUUCUGUACUUAUCUUAAAGAAAGAGCAUGAGCAGUUGCUUAGGGAACCAAGAAGUGCUUUUUGUCGCAUUUCCUUCUUUUAUGCAUCUUAAAUUCUCCACUUCUGCUGGUUAGAACAAUAUCAAAAUUAAUUCAUCUCAUCUUUUUAGGGAUGAUUCUCUAAAAGAUGAGACUCGUAUUUCUCUGUGAAUGCAUUUAAUAUAAUUGCUCAAUGUCUUGCAUUCUUUCUGAUCAACUAGUGUUCUUCAACAGGCAGAGAAGAGAGAUGUGGUUGGUUUGCAGGAACAGGUAAUCCCUUAGUAAAUCUGUUAUCUGACCCUUGAAUAUGUUUUCGGCGAUGAACUUACUUCUGAAUUUUCAGGUUUUUGUUCGGAAAGUGAUUGAGCUUCACGAUAAAUAUUUGGCGUAUGUGAAUAACUGUUUCCAAAACCACACACUUUUUCACAAGGUAUGUGUUGGAGCGAAGGAUAGUUGUCUAAUUUAAUUGUUCUACUCUGUGCAUCAGGGUAGAAGUAAAUUGCUAAUAUUUAUCCCCUUUGUCAUUUUCUAGGCACUUAAAGAGGCUUUCGAACUUUUCUGCAACAAGGGUGUUGCUGGUAGCUCAAGCGCUGAACUUCUUGCCACCUUCUGUGACAACAUUCUCAAAAAAGGCGGGAGUGAGAAAUUGAGUGAUGAAGCCAUUGAAGAGACGUUGGAAAAGGUGAGCUCUUGCUCUAUAGAUCCCCUUCCCUUCUUUUCCUCUAGAGCAUUUACUUUUUCUUCGUACUACUGGAGCAGGAGAAAGCUGAUAAUAGAUCUCACUUGCAGGUGGUAAAGCUGCUAGCUUAUAUUAGUGAUAAGGACUUGUUUGCAGAAUUCUAUAGGUAGAGUUACCUCUACCGUGUAUCUCAACCACUACUUGAAUAGUAUCUUCUUCUCCGUUACAAGUUUACGACUUCCUUCUUUUUUUUUCAGGAAAAAGCUAGCCCGGCGGUUGUUAUUUGAUAAGAGUGCCAAUGAUGAACAUGAGAGAAGUAUCCUAACAAAGUUGAAGCAGCAGUGCGGGGGGCAGUUCACAUCAAAGAUGGAGGGAAUGGUAAGCUAUCCAGAUCAAUUAUGCUGAAUUUGAGGCUAUGUUCUCUGGUGACAUUCUUCUUCUCUUUCUAUAGGUCACAGAUUUGACAUUGGCAAGGGAAAAUCAAGCCAGCUUUGAGGAGUAUUUGAGCAAUAAUCCAAUAGCAAAUCCAGGAAUUGACUUGACAGUGACUGUCUUGACUACUGGCUUCUGGCCUAGCUACAAGUCUUUUGAUCUCAACCUCCCAGCUGAAAUGGUAUAUCAUAUCAAUAUGUUAAUUGGCAUUAUGCAGUUGAUUUUAUCUUUGUUUGACCCUUAUUCCUCUAGCUGAAGUUCUUCUCUUUAGGCAAAGAAUGAUGCAUGUUGAAUCAUUUUUCUUCUCAAACGUCCUGUCAUUGAUUCAUUUUAUGCCGUGCAUUGUCAGGUUAGGUGCGUUGAAGUAUUCAAGGAGUUCUAUCAAACAAAAACAAAGCACAGGAAACUUACGUGGAUAUACUCUUUGGGAACUUGCAACAUAAAUGGAAAAUUUGAGCCAAAAACUAUUGAGCUAGUUGUCACUACUUAUCAGGUUGAUUGCUGUUGGCUUACUUUUUGAAAUCGGAUAGGCUUAGUUAAUUUGAAAUAUUUCUAUUACGUUAUUAAUGAGAAAACGAGAUUGAGACUUCUUCCUUUUCGUAGGCUUCUGCUCUGCUGCUCUUUAAUGCAUCAGAUAGAUUGAGUUAUCAGGAAAUCAUGACGCAAUUAAACCUAUCAGAUGAUGAUGUUGUUCGGCUUCUUCAUUCCCUUUCAUGUGCGAAGUACAAGAUUCUCAACAAGGAGCCAAGCACCAAAACAGUUUCUCCGACUGAUGUCUUUGAGUUCAACUCAAAGUUCACUGACAAAAUGAGGAGGAUCAAGGUACAAUUAAUGAUGAGUACGGUUAGCCUUUGUACUAUGAAUUGUUGCACUACAUUACUGACCCCUUGAGGAUAUUGCUGUAAUGGGUAUGCAGAUACCUCUCCCUCCUGUUGAUGAGAAGAAAAAGGUAAUUGAAGACGUUGAACAAGGAUAGACGGUAUGCUAUAGAUGCUUCAAUUGUGCGUAUUAUGAAGAGCCGUAAAGUAUUGGGCUACCAGCAACUAGUCAUGGAGUGCGUUGAGCAGUUGGGACGCAUGUUUAAGGUGGUAUCCUUUGUGAUGAACUUCUACUUCUCAAUUUUAAUGUUAUUUAUUCAAGCUCAACUCAGCUAAUUACUUUGUUUUGAAUACUCCAUAGCCUGAUGUCAAAGCUAUCAAGAAGAGAAUAGAAGAUUUGAUAACUAGAGAUUACCUAGAGAGGGACAAAGAUAAUCCAAACCUGUUCAAGUACUUGGCAUGAUUUGUGCAGAUCAUAGUGAAUGAGUGAUGUUUAUAUGAACUUUUGCAAUCGACAUAGGAGGAGAAACAUGCCCCACAAGAUGAGGACAGAUUUCUUUAACUCCUACCUCCCUGGACCUUUGAUUGCCUUGCACCAGGAGCUUGAAACAUUUUGUACAAAUGGUUAAGAUCUCAGGAAAAAGUAGAAUUGCCUCUCAGAUACUUGAGAUGAGAUUGCCUUAACUUCUUCCAAUCCUAUAUGGCCCUUUAGCUUGCUCUAUUAUGUGUUUUGUCGGCUACCUGUUCGAGUUUGAGUAAAUGUAAUAUUCUAAUCAACAGCAACUUAUAGUACAUUCUCUGCAACACUACUUUCUUGGUUCUUUAUAGAUUGUGAUUUGGACCUUGGUGGUCCUUAUGUGGCGCUUUCUUUCAAUCUUGUGCAAGUUUAUUGGAUUCGGACCUUCAUGGCUGGUCCUUAUGCUUUCUUUCAAACUUUGUGGACGUGGAAAACUGGUAGCUUGGGGAUGGCAUUCAGGCCAGAAUCUAGAUUAUAUAGCUUUGUAGAUUCGAAAAUACCAGCUCGAUAUAGUAACACUCUUAAAGUUACUAAAAUAUGCUAUUUAAAAUUGCAAAACUAGCUAGUAUUAGAAAUUAUGAGAAAUAUCAUUGGUUACAUAACCUGGAUAAGUUUGUUAUGGUCUCUUGACACCAAUCAUCCUUGAGCCUAGAGCCAAAUUUCAUGCUUGUGAAAGUUGAUGAUAUUGGUGAUAGAGGCCUUUUAGGUGGCAUAAUAGCCUUUAUGCCCUAGUAUCCGUAACUUAUUUACCCUUUAAGUAAGCAUUUACAUGAGAGAAGAAGACAUCUCAUCUUCACUAAUAAAAUACAAUUUCAUUUCUUAGUUUUGAGAAUAUGGAAAAGAUCCUUAAUCUUGUUAUUUUCUUGCUUUUGUUAUUAUAUCAAUUUCAUAUUCUAGUUCUUAUGGGCAUAGUCAAAAAAUGUUUCUUCAUUAUUGUUUCGUCGAUUUAGUCUCCCUCCCCCNNNNNNNNNNNNNNNNNNNNNNNNNNNNNNNNNNNNNNNNNNNNNNNNNNNNNNNNNNNNNNNNNNNNNNNNNNNNNNNNNNNNNNNNNNNNNNNNNNNNNNNNNNNNNNNNNNNNNNNNNNNNNNNNNNNNNNNNNNNNNNNNNNNNNNNNNNNNNNNNNNNNNNNNNNNNNNNNNNNNNNNNNNNNNNNNNNNNNNNNNNNNNNNNNNNNNNNNNNNNNNNNNNNNNNNNNNNNNNNNNNNNNNNNNNNNNNNNNNNNNNNNNNNNNNNNNNNNNNNCCCCAUCCCACCCCAAAAACAAAUAGAAGGGUGAGAUCGAUAUUAAUUCACUUGUUCUUGAUCCCCAAUUUUACAAAUUUGACUAUUAGUACAACACAUGUUUAGCUAAACAAAUUUCUUCAAACAUGUUAUUUUUUCUUGAAUGGCAAUUCAACAUUUGAAGGGUAGAGCUAUAAUGAUUAGUAUAUGAACUAUGAAGAUAUGGUGUCUCCUGUCAUAAUAUGUGAAGCUUGGAUUAAGAAGAUAAAUAAAUGAAAGUUCUUCCCUAUAUAAUACAAUUCUUCCAUAUCAAUUUGUUUGAUCUACUUUCCUUUUUAGUCCAUUUAAAAAAGAUUGAAAUUUUCCUUUUUUAACAGUUUUUAUUUUAACUUUCCACUUGACAUGUAUAAGUUCACAAAAUUAAAAAGUAUUUUGAUACAUUUGAGAGAUCUUUAAUUUUUUAUCAUAAGAUUAAAAGGUCACUUAAUUUGAAACAAAGAGAGUGUAUGUUAUGAAAUAUUAAGAUGAUGGAUAUUAAUGUCCAUAUGCACUUGUAUUUGGUGGAUGUCAAUGUUCAUUUGCACUAGUAAACUUGACUUUCCAAGUUACUUGAGACUUGUAAAUAACUUACAUUGUAUAUAAAAAUUGAUAGAUACAAUUGGAAGUAUAAGAAAGCUCUUCUUUCUUCUCCCUGUUUUUAUUGCUCUCUUAUAGUAGUAUUUAUCUUAUUUUGCUUUGAUUUUAUAACAUGUUAUCAACAUGAGUUUCUAAUUUAUUCUAAAGAUAUGCAUGAUAUGAAUAACAAAAAUGUGAGAUCUUCCUAUAAGUAUCUGGGUAUGUAUUUUACCAAUGAUUUACUUGCAAACAGGAUUUAUGUCAUAAUAUCACCUUCCCUUGUUAUAUAACAUUGAUUUGAUAACCAAAAAUCUUAAAAGGUUGUCUGAAUCUUAUUGCUGCUAUGUUUAAUACGUUUAUGUUUGCAUUAUUGUUGACAUAAUUGUUGCAUCAAUUGUAAAUGAAUCUUAGUUUCUAUUGUCAUUGCUAGUAACCUAAUUUUUAAGAAUUUGUUCUAGGGAGGACCCUCUGAUCUAUCAAUAAAAAGAUAUCCAUGUGUGGGGCGAUAAAUAAUCCUAGAAAAGUUUGAUUGAAACUCCCUCCACAUCCCACGAAGAUCUCUACACACUUGUGCAGGACAAGUGAGAUCUUUGAUCUGCGUGCUUGAGAGCAGCUCAAACAAACUAUUUGGUGUGGUCUGAAUUCAAACAUGCUAGUCCGUCUGCUGCUAGGUCAAAAAAUGACGUCGUGUGAGGGCGCCUUUAUGCCCCUUAAUGAAUCAAAUGGUCGUUCGAUCUUUGUUUGAUUUCGACGACCUGCAUAGAUUUCAUGAGAUCGGUCCACUAUUAUUACGGAAAAAAAAUCCUACCCUCUCUUUACAGUUAAGUGACUUUCAGUUCCUUCGCUUCGCUAUUAGGAAAGUAAGCAACUUCUAUUAGUGUUGGAUCUUAAUAAGACUGGGCACCGCAUCGGAACGGGACCAUCGAAUCGGAAUGAACCGAUACUGGAUCGGAAUGGGAUGGUUUGACCGGGUCGUUGAUCGGUACCAGAAUGAGCCAGACCGAAACUAUCGGAAUGGAGGCUUGGUUCCGUUCCGUCCCACUAUAUAUCGGGAUAGAACCGGAACAGACCGGAAUGGAACGGGAUGGGAUAAACAGGACGACACAUAUAGCUAUUUUAAAAAAUAAUACUCCCUCUGUCCCAAUUUAUAUGACUUACUUUCCUUUUUAGUCAGUCCCAAAAAGAAUGACACAUUUCUAUUUUAAGUAACAAUUUGCCUAUAAAAUGUCUUUUUACCCUUAAUGAAAUAAUUUACAACCACACAAAUUUCUAUCAUUCAUUUUGGACCACAAGUUUUAAAAGUCUUUCCAUUUUUCUUAAAAGUUUGUGCCAAAAUCAAAAGUACAUCAUAUAAAAUGGGACGGAGGGAGUAAUUUUUUUGAGUUAUUUUGAAUUACAAAAAUAUGAAUGUUUUUUUAUUUUUCUAAGUUUAAUAGUUUUGAAAUUUAUAAUGUAAUUUUACUUAAGUUUAUUUUAAAGAUAUUUUUUUAAAUUUUUUACUUAUAUAAGUUCGUAAGUUAAAUUUAAUAAAGUUUUUUUUUAAAGUUUUUGAGCUUAAGUUUUCAACUUUAUAAGUUUAUAAGUUAUAUGUUAUAAGUUAUACUUAUAACUUGUAAUUUAAAUAACUUGUUGCAGGCCUAUUUUUAAUUAAUUAAAAAUAAUUUAUCGGGACCAGAUCGGAUCGGAAUCGGGAUGAACCAGUAUCGGUAUACCGAUAUCAAAUCAUGAUACCAUUCCAUUCCGAGUACCGAUUCACUGUAUCCCAUUCCGUUUUGAAUACUACCGGAUCGGAAUGGUACCGAAAAUCUUAAGUCAAAUUGAUCGUGUCAUAUGCAAAGUCUAUCAAUAAUGAUUCAUUAAAGUCUAUUGAUUUCGACUCCUCUCCCUUCUUAAUUAUGCGCUCAAUAUUUCAUUUUCUGUGUGUUUUUAAUAAUACAUCUUAUGUGUACUUAUAUAGGAAAAUAAUAAGAUCAACUUAAUAAUCCUAAUGAGACAUAAAAGUACCCCUUAUGGGUAUAUUCAAUUUUCCUACAUCUCCCACUCACAGAUAAUGAGAAUGUCUUUUCAGUCUGAGAACAUAUUCUCAUCUCCACAAUUAUUCAUAUAGGGAAAUUAGACUAUGAGACCAUCAAAUUGUGAAAGCUAAGUGAUAUAUAUGUUAGGAAUAUAUAACCUCUCUUCGAGUUUAAACAUGCAACUAGAUCAUAAAGUAUGCAGUACCUCAUGUCAUAUAAAUUACAUUUGAUAUAUUCUCAAGAUCUCAUAUAUCAUUAUUUCUUGUAUUCAAAAUUAUAACUCAUAAGUUAUAUCUGGUGCAACGAUGAGCACAAAUCAAUGAGAUUUCAUUAAUGAACUUCCUCUUCUCAUGAUGGUUUAAUUGUUUUUCUAGAUAUACUCCUCUAAAUCGAAUAUGUAUUCAUAAGCUUUUAAAAACAUACUAAGAUAGUAAACAUCAAGUAUCUAAUUAAAGUCACUAAGGGCACAUAUUUUGAGCCAUUACUUCUGGGUCUCAUACAACAAUACAAUUAGAAUGGGCUUACGUUAAAUCCAAUUGGUCGAUGUUAGCACACAUGAUAUGAAAAGCAUGCUACAACAUUUGCUUAUUUACCAUAGGCCGUAUAUCUUUGUUUUUUUAAAUAAUGUUGUAAAUAUGAUAUUUAGACACCAUAUAUUCAAAGUUUGAGUUCAUUGAUCAACCCUAUCAUUUUAACUCACAUCUGGCUUACCAAGUAGACUAGGUGAACAUUUUUCACCUUGAUGACCUUAUGUCAUUAUUUAUGCGACAUUCAAAUUUAAGUUGAUUGAGAUUAUUUAUUUGAUAAUUUUACUUAAAAUUCAAUCUUAUCUCUACUUAUCACUAAGACAAGGAGAAAUUUAUCUAUGUGAAAAGGCUAACAUCAUGUCUACUCAACAUAAUUAUAAAAAAAAAACAAAUAGCUGAAUAAGUAAGGAAUGCUCAUAACAUUCAAUAAUUAAAAUAUGUAUUGAUACAAAUAAACUUUAUUGAUAAUUAAAGAACAUCUGUUUUGUGAACAUGAGAAUAAAAAACAAUAUGAAGUAACUCAAAUUCUGCUCAAGUCUUGAGACCUCGUGUGUAUCAUAAAUACAUCUCCAGUCAAUUGAUUAGUCAAUGAAUCUUCUAAUAUAUCUCUUACAUUCUUGAGUUAGUAUCUGUUUAUUAUGAAAUUUUAAACACUUUAUCUUUUGUUAUUGCUUUCAUAUUGGAGUUGAGUUGAGGUGAGUUUGUCUUCCCAUAUUAUCAGUUUAGUUAGCUAUGUUUCAGUUUCCCCUUACAUGCUUGUACAUUCAAUGUACUGACGUCAUUCGACCUGCAUCUUAUAAUGAUGCAUAUACAAGCUUACAAGAUUAUGAACAAGUGCUUCGUUGAGAUCAUUUGACAUUCUAGUUAGCUUUGAUGAGCCUUCUUGUAUUUCGGAGGACUUCAUCUUUACCUUAAAUUUAGUAUUUUUCAUAUGCCGUGGGUCUUAUCCCGAUAUCCUUCAUAAUACUAGAGGCUUCAUAGAUAGAUAGAGUUGAGAAGUUUUUCAGUUGUUACUUUCUUUGAGUUGUUUUACAAACUAUAAGUAUUUCUAUUGAGUAUUGUUCAGACUUUUUGAGUUAAGUAUUUGAGUUUAACAGAUUUGAUUCAGUUUUAAGUGUAUUAUUGCUUGAGUUAGUCUUCCGCUUGUAGUCCGUCAAGAUAAGGGUUUGUUUGUGGACCAUCAAUGGUUCUCGAGUGUCGGCUAUGUCUAGGGUGUAGGCUCGGAUCGUGACAGUCUGAAUACAAAGCUCUUGAUAUAUAAAUCUUAUGUCUGUUACGUUAAAAAUGGAUUAAUCAAUUUACAAUUCCAUAAAACACGCAAUCACUGCUAAUCAAUCCCUCAUAAUGUGUAUCAACUUCAACAAUUCAAAAUUGUUCAAGCAGAUCGUCCAACAUCCUUUCAACUUUGAUUCAAAAUUUUCACAAAUUUGGAGAAGAUACAUCGUGAAUAUAUCAAUUUUGCUAAGAUAUUCAUGAAUCUAAAAAAAUUUGAAGGUAUAAAUGAUACGGAAGCGAUAGAAUCGUUGUUAGAAAAAUAUUUCAUUUGUGAAUCUAAAAUUAGCAUUGCAACUGAAUUGAGGAAAAAACUAGACAUUAGAUACAUCAUAAAAGAUAAUUUUAAUUCAUGACCAAACACACCUAAAGACACUUAAUACAAAGUUGAUAUUGAAUUCUGAUACAUAACCAUAUGUAUUGUGUUGGCUUUGAACUAGGGUGUUCAGUUAUGUAUUCGAUACAUAACAGUGGGUGUUGUAUGUAUCAGGCAAAAAACAAAAAUAAACAUUAGAUACAUCGUAGAAGAUAAUUCUAAUACAUGACUAAACACACCUAUAUAAAUCUGAUACAUAAAUUCUAAUGCAUAACCAUGUGUCAGCUUUGUAUUCAGUGUGUUUAGUUAUGUAUUUGAUACAUAACAAUGAAUAUUGUAUGUAUCGUGUAUUAAAAUAUAAUGAAAGCUUGCAUAGUUAUGUAUCAGAUACAUAACUAUAAACAAGAUUCAUACUGAUUUAGGUUUGAAAUAAUUGAGGUUAUGUAUCAACAAUAACAUUUGUGUCAAAUACAUUAUACACAAACAAAGUUGUAAUGUAUCUAAUAGUUGAAACAUAAACAUGAUACAUAAGUAAACACACAUGAACCAGUUACAUUAAAAAUUUGAAUCAUGGGUAGAGAAGACCGUAUAGUAAAACCAUCGACUCCUCCCCCCCCCCCCCAAUUUUUUUGAAGGUCAAUACUAAACUAUGGACCAGAAUUCAUAUGUAUCAGAACUUUAGGAUGAAGAAUAUAAAAUAAAAUAAAAAGUCAAAAUCUGAUCAACUGAAAGCAAACAAAGGUGAUGAAGAAAUCCUUUUACUUUUUUAAGAACUUGAGACUGAUGGGAAAAAAUCCGAAAUAACACGGUUGUAAUUCAAAAAUGGUGACUUGGAGGAAAUUGUUGAUACAUGCCAUGAUUUUAGGCAUUAAAUUGGGGAAGUUACGCGUGAAGAGUGAUGCAUCCGAGAAUAAGAGAGAUGGUGAAGAAAAUAGGAAACUUUGUAAUUUUUUCAAAAUGAUACGAAAUUUUAGAAAAUAUGGUAAAAAGGUUGCGUAGUUGGAUAUUUUUACCUUAAUAAUUAUGUUUAUGAUUUUGACUAGUUAGCUAAUUUUCCCAAAUAUAAAAUAAUAACAAUUUCAUAGCCCAAUCCAAACUAAUUCAGCAAAUACUCAUUCUCCCAAAAUGAAUUACAGUCCAUAUCCCCCCUUUAGUUUAGGCCAAAUUUCCUUUCAACCCCUUUAAAUUUAGGCCGAAUCACCCUAACCCUUUUAAAUUUAGGUCCAAUUGGCCCAACCCAAUUUUUUUGUCCUAUUAUUUUGUUCUUUUUUCUCAUUUAUUAUUUUUAUCCUAUCAUUAAUUACUUUUAUUCUUUCUCAUUUAUUAUUUUUAUUAUUUCUUUUAUUAUUUUUAUUCUUUUUAUGUUAUUCUUUAUUAGAGAUAUCAUUUAAUAUUUUUUUUAUUUUUUAUUUUUGUUAGUUUAUCUUCUUUUUAAUUUUUUUCUCUUUCUAUAUUUUUACCUUUUUAAGAAAAUAAAAUAAAUUACCUUUGUUCUUUUCUUAUUUAUUAUUUUAAUUUUAUCUUUUAUUCUUUUUUCAUAUAUUAUUUUUAUUCCUUUUUCCAUAUUAUCCUUUAUUAGAAAUACCAUUUGGUAACAUUUUUAUCUUCUUUUUUUUUCUUUUUUGUAUUAGUUUAUCUUCUUCUUUUUCUUUUUUUUUUUCUUUCUAUAUUUUUACCCUUUUAAGAAAAUAAAAUAAAUUAUUUUUGUUCAUCACUUUUGUUUUUUUUUUCUUAUUUUUUGUUUUUUUAUUUUCUCAUUAAUAUUUUUAUUCUUUUUUUCAUUUUAUCCUUUAUUAGAGAUACAAAUUGAUAAUAUUUUUAUUAUUUGUUUUUUUCUCCGUCUUUUUUUUAAAUUUUUUUUUGUCCUUUCCCCCUUUUUGUUAGUUUAUCAUCUUUUAAUUUUUUGUUCUCUUUCUAUAUUUUACCUUUUUUAAGAAAAUAAAAUAAAUACAAAAAACUACUUUCAUAGUAAUAAAAACAAACAACUAGACUACAAUAAUAACUAAAUAAGAAAAAUACAUAAUUAUGUGAUUUUGGGUCUGUAUAAACUACAUUUGACAUUUAGUGUGGUUUUCUUAAAAAUAAAUAUAGAAUUAUGUGUCAUUUUACUUUUCUUCCCACAAUAUUCAGUAUUUGAUUCUUCUGCUUCCGUCCUAAAUGAUACCAUAUCAGUAUAUGAUAUGUUGUGAUGAAAUCAUUGAGAAAUGAGUUGGUUAUAUAUGAAUAGUUGUCGGAAACCUUAAUAAUACCAUAACAAUAUAUGAAUAUAUGAAAAGAGUACUUAAUGAUACCUUAACAAUAUAUGAAUAUAUGAGAACAAUACUUAAUGAUACAUGUCAGUAUGUUAUAUGUUGUGAUGGUAUCAUUGAGAAAUGAGUUGGUUAUAUAUGAAUAGUUGUCGGAAACCUUAAUAAUACCAUAACAAUAUAUGAAUAUAUGAGAACAAUACUUAAUGAUACAUGUCAGUAUGUUAUAUGUUGUGAUGGUAUCAUUGAGAAAUGAGUUGGUUGUACAUCAACAGUUGUAGGAAACCUUAAUGAUACCAAAUCAGUAUAUGAAUAUAUAAAACAAUCCUUAAUGAUAUCAUAUCAGUAUAUGAUAUGUUGUAAUGGUAUCGUUGAGAAAUGAGUUGGUUGUAGGAAACCUCAAUGAUACCAUAGCAGUAUAUGAAUAUAUGAAAUAGUUCUUAAUGAUACCAUGUUAAUAUAUGAUAUGUUGUGAUGGUAUCAUCGAGAAAUGAGUUAGAUGUACAUGAAUGGUGGUAAGAAACCUUAAUGAUACCCAAUAUAUGAAUAUAUUCUUAUGGUAUCAUUAAGUAAUGAGUAAUUUUGCAAAUGAAUGAAUGAAGUAAACCUUAGUGUUACCACAACAGUAUAUUCAUAUACUAUAACAAUAUUAUACAUGAUCUAAGGUGUGUUCCAAUAUAUUAAAUAGUCAUUCAUUCUACAUAUGUUGUGAUGGUAUCAUUGAGAAAUCAUGAAUUCAUCCCUUGAAGGACUGCUCAUUAGUCUAUGAUACCAUGGUAUUAUAUAUAUAAUGUGUUGGCCUAACCUAUUGGUAGCCCCCUAAAGUUGGCACAAUGUUUCACUUAGACACCUUAACUGAGCGAUAUUCAUUUUAGACACUCCGGGUAGAAUCUCACAGUGCCAUUUUGACACUUUUUACUUACAUGGCAUAAUGAGUGUGAUACACUCAUUGGUAGGCGCAUGAAGUGGUUAUUUAGUUACUUUUUAAUUUUUUAUUUCUUCUUCUCCAUUUUCAACCACCAUUUUUCUCCAAGUUAAAUCUCAUCCAUUGUAAAUGAAGGUUUCAACAAAAAUAAUGGAAUUAUUCAUUAAAUUCUUUGCGCUGGGGGAGGCCGGGGGGUUAUUUGGAGAUAAGAAAAAAUCAACUGGUUGCACAGCGUUCUGCAAAAAGAGGUCGGGUAUUUGGCGGAGAAAACACGGGAGGUGGUUGCAGAAGGCGAUCGGGUUUGGGGUGGGGGGGGGUUAGAGAAGACGAUGGGGUGGGGAUUUGGAGCAGGCGAUUUGGGGUUGUGGGGGUAGUUUAAAUUUUAUUUUAUUUUGUUAUUAUUUGGGGAGUUUAUUUUAUUUUGUAAUUAUUUGGGGAAAAAAUAUUACGUGUCAUUAAUUUAAUGGUCAAUUUUUAUUUUUAUUCAACAUUAAUUAUUUAAAAAUUACUUUUGACAUAAAUGAUAAAUGUCGUGGUUUAAUUCGUCAAUUUACACAUCAUCUGCGAGUGUAAUAUACACACAUUAUAUGUUUUUGUUGAUAUUAAAAAAAGGUAUCAAAAUGACACAGCGGGAUCCUACAUAAGGUGUCUAAAAUGAACAUCGUCCAGUUAAGGUGUCUAAGUGAAAUAUCGUGCCAACUUUAAGGGGUCACCGAUGGAUUAGGCCUUAUGUGUUGGUAUCAUUGAAGAAUGAGUUGGUUGUACAUGAAUGAAUGUAGGAAACCUUAAUGAUACCAUAUGAGUAUAUGUAUAUAUUGUUAUUGUAUCAUCAAUGAAUGAUUAGUAUUGUGAACGAAUGAAGGAAGAAAGGAAAUAUUAGUUUUCCCAAAUUACUUUAAGAGGAACUUUCACAAAUAGCCACUAAAAUCAUUUUAAUUAGGUUUCAUAGUUAUAGUUUGCUAAUUACGAUUCGUAGCUAGUAGCUACAUAUUAGAGGGAGAAGAGAGGUGAGAGAGAUUGGGAGAGGGAGGAGAGAGGCGAGCGAGAGAGGGCAGAGAGUGGAGAGAGGCGAGUUGUAUAUGUAUAUCUGUCAGAUAAUUGUAUAUAUGUAACCGAUGUACAUAUUUAUUUGUAUACCUAGCGAGUGAGAUUGGGAGAGGGAGGAAAGAGGCGAGCGAGAGAAUGCAUAGAAUGGAGAGAGGCAAUUGCAUUAGUAUAUCUGUCAUAUAAUUAUAUAUGUAUAUGUAUAAUUUGUAUUUGUAUUUGUAUAUGUAUAAGCGAGGAGAGAGACGAGAGAGAGGAAGAAAGGAGAGACACACACGUAAUUAUAGCUACAAUUGAGUUGCAAAUCAUAAUUAAUUCAAACUAUAAUUAUAUUAGCUAAUUAAUUAGUAUAUGUUUGAUCAUCCGCGUAAUUUCCCCUUAAUUUAAUCGGGCCAUUAGCCCAAUCUACAAUACUUCUGAAAGUGGGCCUUCUGCCUAUUCAUUAUUGUAGCCCUCAAAAAUUAAAUGGGCUUUAAGCCCAAAUGUUUUAAUGUUUAAUCAGGCCAUUAGCCCAAUUUACAAUACUUUACCUUCUGCCUAUUAAUUAUGAUAGCCUUCAAACAUUAAGUGGGCUUUAAGCCCAAAAUAUUUAUCUUAAAAAAAAUAAAUGCAGUUGCUUAGGGAACCAACAAGUUUUAUGUAUUUUAAAAACUUUUCCCCUUGUGCUGGUUAGAACAAUUUCAAAAUUAAUUCAUUUUUCAUAGAUGAGACUGGUACUUAUUUCUUUGUGAAUUCAUUUAAUAUAACUGCUCAAUGUUUUGCAUUCAACUAGUGUUCUUCCUCAACAAGCAUAUAAGAGAGAUGUGGUUGGUUUGAAGGAAUAGGUAAUCCCUUAGUUCCUUUAAUAUGUUUUCGUUGAUGAGCUUACUUCUGAAUUUUCAGUUUUUGUUCGGAAAGUGAUUGAGCUUCAUGAUAAAUAUUUGGACUAUGUGAAUAAUUGUUUCCAAAACCACACACCUUUUCACAACUAUAGUUAUCUAAUUUAAUGUCCUACUCUAUGCAUUAGGGUAAAAGUAAAUUGCUCUAUAGAUCCCCUUCUCUUCUUUUUCCUCUAGAGCAUCUGCUUUUUCUUCAUAAUACUAGAGUAGGAGAAUGCUGAUAAUAGAUCUCACUUGCAGGUAGUGUAGCUGCUAGUUUAUAUUAGUGAUAAAGACUUGUUUGCAGAAUUCUAUAAGUAGAGUUACCUCUAGUGUGUAUCUCAACCACUACUUGCAUAGUAGCUUCUUCUCUGUUAUUUGAUAAGAGUGCCAAUGAGAGAAGUAUCCUAACAAAGUUGAAGCAGCAGUGUGGGGGACAGUUCACAUCAAAGAUGGAGGGAAUGGUAAGCUAUCUAGAUCAAUUAUGCUGAAUUUGAGGCUAUGUUCUCUGGUGACUUUCUUCUUCUCUUUCUAUAGGUCACAUAUUUGACAUUGGCAAGGGAAAAUCAAGGCAACUUUGAGGAGUAUUUGAGCAAUAAUCCAAUAGCAAAUCCAGGAAUUGACUUGACGGUAACUGUCUUGACUACUGGCUUCUGGCCUAGCUACAAGUCUUUUGAUCUCAACCUCCCAGCAGAAAUGGUAUAUCAUAUCAAUAUGUUAAUUGGCAUUAUGCAGUUGAUUUUAUCUUGGUUUUGACCCUUAUUCCUCUUGCUGAAGUUCUUCUCUUUCGGCAAAGAAUGAUGCAUGUUUUUUUUCUUGAAUCAUUUUUCUUCUCAAACAUCUUGUCAUUGAUUCAUUUUAUGCUGCACAUUGUCAGGUUAAGUGCGUUGAAGUAUUCAAGGAGCUCUAUCAAACAAAAACAAAGCACAUGAAACUUACAUGGAUAUACUCUUUGGGAACUUGCAACAUAAAUGGAAAUUUUAAGCCAAAGACUAUUGAGCUCGUUGUCACUACUUAUCAGGUUGACUGUUGGCUUACUUUUUGAAAUUGGAUAGGCUUAGUUAAUUUAAAACAUUUUUAUUACGUUAUCAAUGAGAAAAUGAGAUUGGCACUUCUUCCUCGUAGGCUUCUGCUCUGCUACUCUUAAUGCAUCAGAUAGAUUGAGUUAUCAGGAAUUCAUGACACAAUUAAACUAUCAGAUGAUGAUGUUGUUCGGCUUCUUCAUUCCCUUUCAAGUGUGAAGUACAAGACUCUCAACAAGGAGUCAAGCACCAAAACAAUUUCUCUGACUGAUGUUUUGAGUUCAACUCAAAGUUCACUGACAAAAUGAGGAGGAUCAAGGUAUUGAUUAAUGAUGAGUAAGGUUAGCCUUUCUACUCUGAAUUGUUGCACUACAUUACUGACCCCAUGAGGAUAUUGCUGUAAUGGUAUGCAGAUACCUCUCCCUCCUGUUGAUGAGAAGAAAACGGUAAUUGAAGACGUUGACAAGGAAAGGCGGUAUGCUACAGAUGCUUCAAGUAGUUGGGGUGGGGGAUUGGGUGGGUAAGAGGAGACAAUAAACUUGGAAUGUCGCAGUGUCACUUAUGCAACUCGUUUUUCAUAUAUUCAUUAGGAAAGUCAUUUUCCUAGAGAAAAUAUUUUUCUAACAUUUUGACCAAUCAAAUAUAGAAAAUGUGAAAAACAUACACAAAUUCUCACUAUUUCCAUUUUUGCCAAGGUAAUUUCUUGGUUUUUCAUUCAGGGUUUUUGGAAAUUUAUCCCUACUAUUUUUGGGUUUUAUGCAUUUUUACCUCAAUUGCUUGAGUACUCUCUUUCUUUUUUGUUUCUUUUAUUGAGAAUGUCGUCUACUUUUACUUCACGACAUUCUCAAAAAAGAAAAAAGAUAGUACUCAAGCAGUUGAGGUAAAUAUGCAUAAAACCCAAAAAUAGUAGCGAUAAAUUUGCAAUAACCUUGAAUGAAAAACCAAGAAAUUACCGUGGCAAAAAUGGAAUAGUUAGAAGUAUAAGGGGGUUUUCGAGGAAACAGGAAAAACACAUAAAAGGGGGAAAAGAUUCACAAAUCACCCUAUUCUCUUCUUGUCAUAAAUGGUUCCACACUGGAUUUACAGGUUGUACUUUUCCCAUUAGUCCAUAAGGAUCGGACACCCAUAUUCCGGGACCAUACAAGCUUGUUACAUUAAAUGCACCAAAACCAAAACAAGCCACCCCUGAGAGAAAUAAAUGAAUUUCAAAGAGGGUUUUCCUGUACAUUCAUCACAAAAUAUUUCUAGAUCCCAAUACAAUACACCCAAUGCCAGAUAGCUGCUAGCUCCGUCUUUUUCCCUCAUCAGGUCUAACUCUCCGAUCACCCUUUUCGGAAAAUUCCUUCGCUCUCCGGUGACAUCACAGGUAUAUUUUCCAUUUAAAUUGUGACCUGCGAUUUGAUGUACAUUGUUCCUACGUAUGUAUAUACCUAUGAUGCAUAGUUGAUGUGAUUGUUUUGGUUUAAUUGGAUCUCCCUUUGCUUCAGAUUGAUCCUGUUACUGAUUUUGUUUCCGGUAGCUAUUAAAAUUGUGUUGUUUUGUAACCUGAAUUAACCGUGGUGCACUUGCGGGAAAAUCCUUGCCGAGGGCCUGUGCACCCCCGGGAUUAGUCGGGGCUCAAAGAGACUCGGACACCCGGUGCAAAUCAAANNNNNNNNNNNNNNNNNNNNNNNNNNNNNNNAAAAAAAAAAAAAAAAAAUAAAAAAAAAAAAAAAAAUUUGUGUUGUUUUGUUUAAUUUCAAAAAAAGAAAUUGUGUUGUUUUGCUGUGGUUGAUUUUGCGAUCUUCAGAGCUGAGAUUGAUUGACUAGUUUUAUGUUGUUUUUUAUUUCUCUAUAGUUGAUUUGAGCACGAGUGUUUCGUCCUUUUGAAAUUAGGUAUAGUGGAAGUUUAGUGUUCAUUACUGGUAGGGUUUGAGUUUAAUUUUUGGUUCAUUCUUUGUUGCAACUAACGACAUCCUUGUAAACUAGAAAUUCAAUAGGAAUAACUGAUUCCAGAACUUUGUUUUAUUUCGUUAACUGCCUGAAACUUUAGAUUUUUCAGCUAUGUUGUUUGGACUCUUCAAAAAUGUCAACAGGUGUGUGUCGGAUCCUCCAAAAAUAGUGUUUUUUGAAGGAUCCGACCAACUUAGCUUUUCAGUGUCUUUGAUGAGUGUAAUUUAAUGGAAGAUUUUUUUCUUAUUCCAGUAGGUGAACAAUGAAUAAAUACAAUACAUAAAGUGCUAAGUGCUAACUAAGGAAAGAAAUUAAGAGUGAUUCCUAUAGAUCUGCAGUGAUCCCUAUAAAUCUGCUGCCCAUAUAUAGCUAUGUAUAUUACUAAGAUUAAGUCUAUAUACAUUCUAUAACACUCCCCCUCAACCUGGAGCAUAUAUGUUGAUCAUGCCCAGCUUGUUACAAAGAUAAUCAACUCGAGUUCCAUUCAACGUCUUUGUGAGCAAAUCAACUACUUGCUCUCUUAUCUUCACUUAGCUAGUGGAAGUCAGUUUUCCUGAAUCUUCUCACGAAUAAAAUGACAGUCAACCUCAAUGUGUUUAGUUCUUUCAUGACACAUCAGAUUUGAGGCAAUAUGCAAGGCAACUUGAUUAUCACACCAAAGUUUUGUUGGUAUGUGAUGUUCCAACCCAAUUUUAGUUAGAAGAUGAUGUAUCCACAUAAUCUCACAUGUAGACUGUGACAUAGCUUUGUACUCAGAUUCUGCACUGGAUUGAGAUACAACACUUUGCUUCUUACUCCUCCAUAAAACUAGGUUCCCUCCAAAGACAUAAUAGCCUGUAGUUGAUCUCCUGUCAAUUUUGGAUCUAGCAUAGUCAGCAUCUGCAAAACACUCAACACGAGUAUGACUGUGAUUGCUAUAUAAAUCCCAAGUCCAGGGGAUCCUUUCAAGUAACAUAAAAUCUGUUCCAAAGCUGCCCAGUGUUUAACUGUAGGCGAGGACAUAAACUGGCUAACAACACUUACUGCAAAAGCAAUGUCUGGACGAGUGACAACAAGGUAGUUUAACUUCCCAACUAACCUCAUGUAUCUCUCAGGAUCAUCAAAGGGGUCGCCGUCAUCUUUCAUAACCUGCACAUUGGGAGCCAUUUGAGUACUGCAAGGUUUAGCUGCCAACUUUCCAGUGUCUGCAAAAAGAUCAAGAAUAUAUUUUCUCUGAGACAAAAAAAUUCCCUUCUUGCUUCUAUUCACCUAUAUACCCAAAAAGUAUUUCAACUGACCCAAAUCUUUCGUAUGAAACCUAGUAUGCCAGAAGGAUUUGAGGGAAGAGAUCCUCGCAUAAUCACUUCCUGUGAUGACAAUGUCAUCAACACACACAACCAGGAUAGUGCCAACUUUUGAUUGUUAGUAGAAAACUGAGUGAUCACAUUUACUCAUUUUCAUCCCUAACUCCAGGACUACCCCACUGAACUUCCCAAACUAAGCUCAGAGACUCUGUUUCAAGCCAUACACAGACUUCUUCAAAUAACAGAUUCUCCCAUACUCCCCCUGAGCAACAAAACCAGGUGGUUGCUCCAUAUAUACUUCCUCUUGAAGAUCACCAUGAAGGAAUGCAUUUUUGAUAUCCAACUGAUGUAAAGGCCAAUUCUCAGAAACAGCUAAAGAAAUGAACAAGCUGACGGAAGUAAGUUUGGCAACUGAAGAGAAAAAGUCUGAAUAAUCCACUCCAUAAGUUUGAGCAUACCCUUUAGCCAUAAGCCUAGCCUUAAGUCUUGCCACAAAACCAUCUAGAUUAACUUUAACUGUGAACACCCACUUACAUCCCAUUAGUUUCUUCGUGCUAGGUAAAUCCACUAAAUCCCACGUGUGAUUUUCCUCUAAGGCGUGUAUUUCCUCAAGCAUCGCAUCAUACCAUCCAGGAUGGUUCAAAGCUUCUUUCACUGUUUUGGGUAUAGAGAUGGAGUCUAAAGAAGGAACCAAGGACCUCGACACAGAGGAUAAGCAAUCAUAGGAAACAAAAGUAACAAUGGAACCGGUGAAGAGCAAUAGAGAGAUCCAAAUUCUCUGAAGGAUCGGGUGAAGAAAGAUUUGAUAACAGAGGAACCGGUGCAGAACAUGUAUCGUCGAUCUCUUGUCUCCUUGAAUAAACUUGAACAAUUGGUGGUCUUGCUGGAGUAGAAGUUGUAGGCCCAAUAGUCAAUUGGUGUUCAAUAGGGGAACUAGGAGAUUGAAGUACAUUAUUUGAUUGUUCUGUCACAACCCGAGCAACCUGAUAGAGUAACCACUCAUCUUCCUCCUCUUGAGUUGUAUAAAUGGGAGGUGCAUGGAAGAAUGGUGGUCUCUGAAAAAUACCACAUCAUUUGACACCAAGUAUUUACCAAGCUUAGUAGAAUAACAUCGAUACCCCUUCUGAAGGCAUGAAUAACUCAAGAAAAUAGACUUCAAUGCCUUAGGAUCCAACUUGGUAACAGAUGGCUGAACAUCUCAAACAUAACACGUGCUUCCAAAUACCUUAGGCUCCACCGAAAAUAGUGACUUGUUUGGAAAAAUAACAUUGUAAGGCACAUUACCAACAAGAACAAUCGAUGGCAUGCGGUUAAUCAAAAAACAAGUUGUAGAGACUGCAUUAGCCCAAAAUUGUUUAGGAACCUUCAUUUGGAACAAAAGUGCUCGACUGUCUCAAGUAGAUGCCUAUUCUUUCUCUCAACAACUCCAUUUUAAGAGGGUGUAUCAACACAUGAAGUUUGAUGGAGAAUACCAUGUUGUCUCAUGUAGGACUGAAAUAAUUCUGACAUAUAUUCUUUAGCAUUAUCACUCCAUAGACUACGCAUUGAAGUAUUGAACUGAGUUUUGACUUCAGCACAAAAGUGAGUAAACACUUCAGAACGACUCUUCAUAAAGUAAAUCCAAGUCAUUCGAGAGAAAUCAUCCACAAAUGUGACAAAAUACUUAUGUCCAGUUUUGGAAACAACAGGACAUGGUCCCAAACAUCAACAUGAACUAACUCAAACUUCUUCCAUUAAAAAAGAAAAAGGUAGUCUUUAUCGACUCCACCCGCUUAUUAAUCUUGGAUUUGUUGAGCUACGAUGGUGUUUAGCAAAUUGACAUGACUCACAAUCUAGUGAAGGAAUAUUCUGAAACUGAGGACAGAGCUUCUUCAACAUAGGCAAAGAAGGAUGCCCUAAUCGACAAUGUGCCUCAAAUGGAGACACGACACAAGAGUAGGCAGCAAAUCGAGGCUCCCAAUAUUCAUCAAGAAUGUAGAAACUAUCAGAUACAUGUCCUUUACCAAUAACUUUAUUUGUCUUCAGAUCACGAAACAAACAAUGACCGACAAAAAUGAGAUAUAAUAGCCUAGGUAUCUGGUAAACUUUCUAACAGACAUCAAAUUAAAGGCUAACUUUGGUAGACCUAAUACAUAUCACAAGGUAAUGGAAGAAGUUAGUUUUACAGUCCCAGAUCCUAUAACAUUACAGAUUGAACCAUCAGCAACUGUCACAGGAGAGAGUGCUCCGUGUGAUUGAAAGCUAGAAUAUAUGUUAGGAUUACCUGUCAUGUGAUUUUCGAAGAGGAUAUAAGACAUGCUUUUCCUGACUCAACAAGGGUAGUAACUGAAAUAGAUUAUUUUUGUAAUUUUUGAUAUUGUGAGAAUUUUGUAAACUCUUUCGCCGAAAUCAAAAUUCUUUUAUCCGAAGACAUAUGAGCCACAAUUUUAGUCAUUCUCUCCAAAUAUUUUAGCAACACAAGAACUCAUCAACAAAAAUAUAACCAGAAGAAUGUAUGUGACCCCACAAAUACAGAUGAACAAAGUCUAAAAAUGGUUUUAUCAACUAAGAAACCAAUUGUCCACCCAAAAUAAAGGAACUGAGUACUUUACCGGUAGACAAGAGCACAUAGUGAACAAUCAAGUAGUUCAGAGAAAGAAAUCCUGAACCGCAACUUAUGAUAAAAAAACACCAAUUAUAUGAAAUGAAGUAGAAGCUAGAAGCCACAAAUCACAAACCAAAUUCAGUGUCGCAGAAUAGAAAUGAACCUGGAACGAACGAACUUUCCAGAUUGUAUUUUAACACCAAAAUAGACCUGAGAAGGGACGAACAAACAUUCCAGAUGGUAUUUUAACACUAGAGCACACUUGACAUUCGCCAGAAAUACGUUUCUAGAUUGUAUUUAACACCAAAAUAGACCUGAGAAUCGCUAGAAAUACGUGCCGAUGCUGGAAAUUCAAAAUCCAAUCAAUUCAGCCAGACACGCACCUUCACGUGCCGGUGCGUGAUGAACAAAAGAACCGUAUGAGCGGUGUGUGGCAACCACUCGCUUCACAACCAGAGGCCGGUGACGACUGGUUUGGCUGGAAAAUAUACUCCGCCUCCUUCUGUGGUGGUGAUAGUAGACUGACCACUUUAAAUCAGUGGAAUAGAAAUCCAAACUUCUUCCGUAACACAACCAAAACGAAACGAGCCUAUAAGCUCUGAUACCAUGUAAUUGAAUGGAAGAUCUUAUUCUUAUUCCAGUAGGUAAACAGUGAAUAAAUACAAUACAUAAGGUGCAGACUAAAGAAAGAAAUUAAGAGUGAUUCCCAUAGAGCUGCAGUGAUCCCUAUAAAUCUACUGCCUAUAUAGCUAUAUUACUAAGAUUAAGUCUAUAUACAUUCUAUAACAAUGAGUAUUUUCUUUUGAUAUUCUCAGUUUUAUUUACUUAUUGAUUUAUAUACAUUAUUGGAAAAUGUUGUAUGCGUUUUUUUUAUGCAACCCAGAAAAGAUUUUAAAAGUACAUAUCUUUUAGGGCAAAGUGUGCAAUUUUUGUAACUCUAGUUUAUCUAGGUCCUAGGAAUCACUUGGUGAAACUUAGUUCUUGUGGAAUUCCUAUCAAGUCAGGGUCUUGGGGAACCAAGUCAGAACCAUGAGGAAUCAAUCAAUUACGUUGAAUGUGCUUAGAGAUGUAUCAUAUGAUACCAGCCGACAUGUCUCAUGCCACCAAAAUGUUGUUACCGUGUGGGUAUUGGUCCAAUAACUGCAGUUUCCUGAAAAGUGCCUCUUUCCAGGGCGAAGGACGUUAAGAGCUUGCAAAAAAAUUGCUGAAUCAAUCCCUAAAUAGUACUUAGAAUAGAAUUUCUUUUCACCGAGUAAUAAGCAUGAAUAAAAAGUAAGCUCACGUGAAUAUUGAGUUAUACCUGUGAGUUAUUUUGUUAUGAAUCAUGAGCUUAGAUGAUUAGUUGGCAAGUAAAUAUCAAUAGCGGAUGAGGUAAUUACUUAGGGUUUUUAUUUUGGCGCAAUGUAGGUAGUCUCUACUGCAUAUUAUUCAACUCUUGUGGAGCUCUCUCGAAGGCUUUUUUUUGUGACAUGUACUUUAACUUUAUGCUUAUCUCAGCACUUCUAAAAUUUUGGAGUUUGGACUUGUUUAGUUACGUAAAUGGUUCAUUU